This 305-nucleotide ribosomal RNA is filed under the name Neogloboquadrina pachyderma. RNAcentral's name for it is "partial 18S ribosomal RNA". It matches the Rfam family "Eukaryotic small subunit ribosomal RNA", at positions 1164 to 1414 of the family's 1831-position model. Lineage: Eukaryota; Foraminifera; Rotaliida; Globorotaliidae. The record is from RNAcentral.
GCACCACAAGAACGCGUGGAGCAUGUGGCUUAAUUUGACUCAACGCGGGAAAUCUUACCGGGUCCGGACACACUGAGGAUUGACAGGCAAUAUCUCAUGGUUAUUAACCGGUUAUUUAUUUAAUCGGUUAUUAAGCAUCGAGUGUUAAAUAUGCUAGUCCUUUCAUGAUUAUGUGAUAGGUGGUGCAUGGCCGUUCUUAGUUCGUGGAGUGAUCUGUCUGCUUAAUUGCGUUUCACUAAGGGCCCAUAAAUUCAAGGUAUGUUAGCUAUCGUCGCUCUAUGGACCCCUUAUACUCGAUUUCCUUU